This 673-nucleotide ribosomal RNA is filed under the name Anadara pilula. Its description in RNAcentral is "12S ribosomal RNA". It matches the Rfam family "Bacterial small subunit ribosomal RNA", at positions 511 to 1519 of the family's 1533-position model. The record is from RNAcentral. Lineage: Eukaryota; Metazoa; Mollusca; Bivalvia; Arcoida; Arcidae.
GCAGUCGCGGUUAAAUUUCUGAUUCCCCCAGCGGGAUGAAUGCGGCUUAAAGGAUAGGCAACGAGUGGUAAAUAGUGUAUAGGAAAAUUAAUAUUGUGGGUAUAAUCUUAAGUGUUAACAGAACUUAUCGGGAUCGUGAACUAUGAAACCGGGGUAAGAGGACCGGGAUUAGAUACCCCGUUACUCCCGGCAUUAAGUGUGGCUAAUUUUUUUAUUUUGCGCAUGUUUGCCGGGCAACAACGUCGGAUGGAGGUAAAAGUCGAAGUGCUUGGCGGUCUAGCGAUGAACCAGCCCGUGAGACUUGACGGUUAAUCCGAUAAUCCGCGUAAAUUCUACUCUUUUCUUGUAUUCGACAGUUGGUGUAUGGCCGUGCAGUGCUUCCUGAAAGGGAGUUGCAAAAUCCAGCGUGAAUGUUAUUAGAUUAACUGAACGAAAGUGGAGGAAGACAGGUCGUCAUGCUGCCCAUGAAGGAGGCUUAGUUGAGUCACAAUGAAAACAAAUCAAACGGAGUCGGGGAGGAAGAAACCUGACGAAGAAGUAAUGGGUAGUAAGAAGAGAAUAAUUCGCUUUUCUGAAUCGUGAACUCCUAGGUGUACAAAUCGCCCGUCGCCCCCAGAGUGCUUUAAUUCCGGGGUAAGUCGUAACAUAGUAGGAGUACGGGAACGUGCCUCCU